This 935-nucleotide long non-coding RNA is filed under the name Zea mays. RNAcentral describes it as "drought responsive lncRNA". The record is from RNAcentral. Lineage: Eukaryota; Viridiplantae; Streptophyta; Magnoliopsida; Poales; Poaceae.
UUAUUUAGUGUAUACAUACAGUUGCAAUCAGCGCAACUACGAUGUUGCAAUUGGUUGGUCAUGUGUGUCCACUGUUUUCCGAACAGUCACACAGUCAUUAUUGAGUUUAACUUACACAGAGUUAUAAAAUAAGAUAAAAUUGAAAUAUUACAUUGGAGAUUCAGUCAGAUUCAUAGUCAUUCUUAAUCACUUUCGUCCUAGUAAUUAACAUGGCAAGUUGUCGCCCUCCUAAUUCUUGCAAUCACCGCGUGUGCUGCUGACUCCUCCACCGCCAUAGUGCAUCCAGAUUGCUGUGUCUCAUCCCCCUCACUCUGUGCCUCAUCUUGAUUCCCAUCUAGUCCUUUUUUUAUUGUUGGGCGACCUCUUUUUCUUGGAGUCCAACCUACAGUUUUCGCACUUCUCUUUUUGUCCUUGUUCUCGACCGCUCUGCUUCUGUUUGGGUUCUGAGGGCAUGUUGUGCUAUAGUGCCCCCUAACAUGGCAGGUUUGACACUCUCUUAUGCCCUGACCCCCACUAUAUGUGUUGUAUGGAUUAGCAGGUUCCACACUAUUUUUAGCACAUUUAGCCCCACUGGCAGACUUCCUACCCUUCGUGCGCGACACUGGCGGUUCAGUCAAUCUUAGAUCAGUGAGGCAGUUUGCAGAAUCUGGAUUGAGGCCCGAUUCUGGUGGUGGUGUAGGUCCAGUUGGCAUCACAACAGGUUCUAUAUUGUUGUCAGAACUUUGUUGUGUUGGUGCGAUGGGACCAAUAUUCCGCCGUCCUUCUGCAUCUUGCUGCAACUCAGUAUUUGUUGCUUCGUCCGGACCAAUCGGACCAAUCUCCGAUGUUCGUAGAAGCUCAAUCCCAGGAGUUAUCAUGUCGAUGUGCCUGAUAGUUUCAGUGUAUGCUCUAUCAGAUUUGCUUCCCGCUCUUCCCAGUCGCAUUAACUUUGGCAG